AGCAGCCGCGGUAAUUCCAGCUCCAAUAGCGUAUAUUAAAGUUGCUGCAGUUAAAAAGCUCGUAGUUGAAUUUCGGGACCAUCAUGUCGGUCGUGCCUCGGUACGUACUGGUAUUGUUGGUUUCUCCCUUCUGACGAACCAUGAUGUCAUUUAUUUGGUGUUGUGGGGAAUCAGGACUGUUACUUUGAAAAAUUGAGUGUUUAAAGCAGGCUCACGCUUGAAUACAUUAGCAUGGAAUAAUGAAAUAGGACGUUUGAUUCUAUUUGUUGGUUUCUAGGAUCGACGUAAUGAUUAAUAGGGAUAGUUGGGGCAUUAGUAAUUCAAUUGUCAGAGGUGAAAUUCUUGGAUUUAUUGAAGACUAACUACUGCG
Molecule: ribosomal RNA, 370 nt
Filed under: uncultured Glomus
Lineage: Eukaryota; Fungi; Glomeromycota; Glomeromycetes; Glomerales; Glomeraceae
Description: SSU rRNA
Rfam family: Eukaryotic small subunit ribosomal RNA
Source: RNAcentral